AUACGGAGGGUGCAAGCGUUACUCGGAAUCACUGGGCGUAAAGCGCGCGCAGGCGGUCUUUUAAGUUGGAUGUGAAAGCCUACGGCUCAACCGUAGAACUGCAUCCAAAACUAUUAGACUAGAGUGUGGGAGAGGAAGAUGGAAUUAGUUGUGUAGGGGUAAAAUCCGUAGAGAUACCUAGGAAUACCAAAAGCGAAGGCAAUCUUCUGGAACACUACUGACGCUGAGGCGCGAAAGCGUGGGGAGCAAACGGGAUUAGAAACCCCAGUAGUCC
This 274-nucleotide ribosomal RNA is filed under the name uncultured bacterium. Its description in RNAcentral is "partial 16S ribosomal RNA". It matches the Rfam family "Bacterial small subunit ribosomal RNA", at positions 523 to 796 of the family's 1533-position model. The record is from RNAcentral.